Molecule: long non-coding RNA, 1001 nt
Filed under: Volvox carteri
Lineage: Eukaryota; Viridiplantae; Chlorophyta; Chlorophyceae; Chlamydomonadales; Volvocaceae
Description: long non-coding RNA (VCAR_LNC002204)
Source: RNAcentral
CCUGGAGGCGGGUGAAUGUGCAUGUAGGCGGGAGUUACUGUCGCUGUCCUGGCGAGUAUUACGAAUCGUUGAGUGUGUGGCCGCCCUGUGACCCACAUUAGCAUCGCAUGCAUAGCAUGAGUGUGCAGUCGUUGUUAGGGCGCCGCUGUCGCGCUGUGUCGUGACGUCACCAAGUGUGAUCAAAUGUCAAGUCACUUACAGACAAACUGCUCCAGACACACCAAAUAUGCUAAGGUAGGUGCGGGUAGGUUCCAGAAUCGAUCUUGCUAGGGAUCGGGAUGAAAUCCGUCUUAGACCGUAAGAGGUUGGAUGGGCCCCCAUACCGUUGGACGUUGAUGGACCCGGUAAUAGCGACACACCUGCGAGCCGACCGGGAAUGGAGGUGUGCCGCCCUUGAUCUGGGGGCAGAUUCCACUGGAUGAUGCGCCGGUGUCGGGUGCUGAACUCGGAGAAGUCGGCACACGUGGGUGGAAAGGAUGAGGGCGUCCCAAGCAUCGCGGGGAAGGCAGGGUGACUGCCAGCAGGCUACAGUGGCCGCGGGUUAAGCUAUACCCCCUACUUCGCACAAUCAGACAAACACUCACCGGCAAAAAUAGACUACUACGGUAGGACAAGGUGGCAAGGGUUCCCUGCCAUCUGCUUGUUAGUUUUUAUGAUACGAGGAUUUGUAUGUCUGUAGAUGUGUUUUGCAGUACAGUUGCAUGUACGACCGCCGAAAAGGCGGGUUACUCAUGUCCACGAUGGUUUGUACUGCUGCUGUAGUAGUUGCGGUUGUGGGUCUGGUCGGCUGCCCGCUGCAAGAAAGAAAGCGGGGGAGGGAAGCGAGCGUGAUGAUGGAAAGAUCGGGUGCAGGGGAAAGAAGUAAAAGUGACGUUACUGCUAUUGAGCAUUCCACUGAUUACCCUGUCCUGGUCGUACACCACAAGAGGUGGGAUGCAGGAGUGCGCUGUGGAAUGUGAAGGGUGGAGGAAUUCCUGGGGCUUCGCUUCCAUGCUCCAUUU